UGGUAUUCAUAUUGUUGGUGUUGUACACUUGCGUUAAGUUGGGGAUUGCAACAACUUGUAUGUCGAUUUAGGAAUAAGUAUGAGAUGUAGAUAACCCUAUUUUUUCUUAAAAGACAGUUGUAGCAGCAUUCAAAUGCAUUAAGCCCCGAAUAGGGAAACAUGGAUACAGAGGUUAUAUAGUUGACCGAACUUAUUUCGAAUUGAAGCAUAGUUGAUUGAUUGAUUUUCAUAUGCUCCGGGAUUCCAGUAGAUAAAGGUGGGUAGACUUUAAAAUCCAAAAGAAACGCUUCAACUCUUCAACCGUCUCUCCAUUCUCCCCUUCACAGUAAUUUGCUCUAGAUUGCUAUCUCACGUGCAGUUUCCAUAGCUUUUCAACGUCGAAGAUCCCCAUGGUGUGAACCACCUGUAGAUUCACAUAGUCAGGUACCACCAUCUAGUAGCUGUCUUAACUCUUCCCAAUCCAAUGUUUGGCAAAUACAAAAAUAAUUUAAAAUAAGUCAAAAAUGACUUAAAAUAAGUUAGGAAGUGUUUGGCAAGGUUAAAAAUAACUUAAAAUAAGUUUAAAAUAAGUCAAAAACCAAAAGUAGGUCUCCCCCUACUUUUUAUUUUUUGACUUAAAAGCUACUUUUUUUAAGUCAAUCCAAACGGGCUCUUAGAGUUAUUUUUUUCCAUUAUAGGGGUGUCAUUCUUUUUCUCCAUAAAUUUCUUUGCCUUUUGUCUGGGGGAAAAGGACGGGUGAAAAUAACAUAAGAAAAUUUAGUGUACUCCAGAGGACUUGGUGUAUGGGCAAUGAAUUUACCUACCUGUCUUUAGUCAAUGUUGAUGUCAUUUUAUUGCAUUUCUUGCUUUAGUUAUGCUGAUUCCAUGCUAAUGCUAAGUUACUUGUUGCAGAUCAAAAAAUCAAUCACUGUCGGCGUCAUUGGUCUGCCAAAUGUUGGUAAAAGUAGCC
This 949-nucleotide long non-coding RNA is filed under the name Solanum tuberosum (potato). RNAcentral describes it as "long non-coding RNA (STUB_LNC006897)". Lineage: Eukaryota; Viridiplantae; Streptophyta; Magnoliopsida; Solanales; Solanaceae. The record is from RNAcentral.